CAGUCGCCGCGGUAAUACGUAGGGUGCGAGCGUUAAUCGGAAUUACUGGGCGUAAAGCGCACGCAGGCGGUCUGUCAAGUCGGAUGUGAAAUCCCCGGGCUCAACCUGGGAACUGCAUUCGAAACUGGCAGGCUAGAGUCUUGUAGAGGGGGGUAGAAUUCCAGGUGUAGCGGUGAAAUGCGUAGAGAUCUGGAGGAAUACCGGUGGCGAAGGCGGCCCCCUGGACAAAGACUGACGCUCAGGUGCGAAAGCGUGGGGAGCAAACAGGAUUAGAUACCCCUGUAGUCCCUGUCUCUUAUAA
This 301-nucleotide ribosomal RNA is filed under the name uncultured bacterium. Its description in RNAcentral is "partial 16S ribosomal RNA". It matches the Rfam family "Bacterial small subunit ribosomal RNA", at positions 509 to 809 of the family's 1533-position model. The record is from RNAcentral.